CACAAACACUACACAAUCAAACUCCUAAACAUAUAAAUUUAUUAAACAUUCUCAUGGAACCCAUUUUCAUUAAUUAAAAUCACCAAACCUCAAGGUUCCAUGGCUAUCAAAAAUUUAAGAAUUCUUUCCUCAAAUUUUCCUUUCAAUUUCAUGCAAUUUUCACUUGAUUUAGCAUGAUAUUCAUGCUUAAAGAAGAGAUUAAAAGUUUAAAGCACUAACCUUUUUGGGUGUCUAGCUAAACUUCAAUUUUAUUAUUGCUUUUUGGUAUCUAUAGCUUUCUUA
This 282-nucleotide unclassified non-coding RNA is filed under the name Hevea brasiliensis (rubber tree). Lineage: Eukaryota; Viridiplantae; Streptophyta; Magnoliopsida; Malpighiales; Euphorbiaceae. The record is from RNAcentral.